AUUGAACGCUGGCGGCAGGCCUAACACAUGCAAGUCGAACGAGUGGCGGACGGGUGAGUAAUGUCUGGGAAACUGCCCGAUGGAGGGGGAUAACUACUGGAAACGGUAGCUAAUCCCGCAUACCAUCGGAUGUGCCCAGAUGGGAUUAGCUAGUAGGUGGGGUAAAGGCGCACCUAGUCGACGAUCCCUAGCUGGUCUGAGAGGAUGAACAGCCACACUGGAACUGAGACACGGUCCAGACUCCUACGGGAGGCAGCAGUGGGGAAUAUUGCACAAUGGGCGAAAGCCUGAUGCAGCCAUGCCGCGUGUAUGAAGAAGGCCUUCGGGUUGUAAAGUACUUUCAGCGGGGAGGCGUUACCCGCAGAAGAAGCACCGGCUAACUCCGUGCCAGCAGCCGCGGUAAUUC
Molecule: ribosomal RNA, 406 nt
Filed under: uncultured bacterium
Lineage: Bacteria
Description: partial 16S ribosomal RNA
Rfam family: Bacterial small subunit ribosomal RNA
Source: RNAcentral